CCUCCUUGUGACUGCAGUUUUUCCUCUGGGACAAUGGGCGAAAGCCUGAUCCAGCCAUGCCGCGUGUGUGAAGAAGGCCUUCGGGUUGUAAAGCACUUUCAGUGGGGAAGAAAGCCUUGGGGCUACUACCCUCGAGGAAGGACAUCACCCACAGAAUAAGCACCGGCUAACUCCGUGCCAGCAGCCGCGGUAAUACGGAGGGUGCGAGCGUUAAUCGGAAUUACUGGGCGUAAAGCGCGCGUAGGCGGUCUGAUAAGCCGGUUGUGAAAGCCCCGGGCUCAACCUGGGAACGGCAUCCGGAACUGUCAGGCUAGAGUGCAGGAGAGGAAGGUAGAAUUCCCGGUGUAGCGGUGAAAUGCGUAGAGAUCGGGAGGAAUACCAGUGGCGAAGGCGGCCUUCUGGACUGACACUGACGCUGAGGUGCGAAAGCGUGGGUAGCAAACAGGAUUAGAUACCCCGGUAGUC
This 465-nucleotide ribosomal RNA is filed under the name Vreelandella stevensii. Its description in RNAcentral is "partial 16S ribosomal RNA". It matches the Rfam family "Bacterial small subunit ribosomal RNA", at positions 338 to 795 of the family's 1533-position model. The record is from RNAcentral. Lineage: Bacteria; Pseudomonadati; Pseudomonadota; Gammaproteobacteria; Oceanospirillales; Halomonadaceae.